RNAcentral lists this long non-coding RNA (337 nucleotides) under Mytilus galloprovincialis (Mediterranean mussel). The record is from RNAcentral. Lineage: Eukaryota; Metazoa; Mollusca; Bivalvia; Mytilida; Mytilidae.
CCCCCCUAUGCCAUCUUUUCUUUGGAAUGCUUUGUUGAAUGUCAGUUUCCUGGCUCUUUUCCUCAAUUCAGUCCCGGAUAUGAUGUGUCUUUUUACAUGUACAGUGGUAAUUCAAGAGGACACUUUAGUUCUAAUAUGAGCUCAUUAUAAGCAUCCACCUUUAAUGUUUUGGUACUUGUACGAAACUCAGGAUUCAAUGGUUCAUGAUUAAAUGUUGGGUUUUUUUUUCUGAUGAGUGCCAUAUUGUCUAGAUACAUCAUUUUGUUUAUAGGUCUUCAAUUUUCACAUCGAACAUUCCCAUGUCUGCUCCUGUCUCCAUUGCUGUUAAUCAUUCUGA